This 253-nucleotide ribosomal RNA is filed under the name uncultured bacterium. RNAcentral's name for it is "partial 16S ribosomal RNA". It matches the Rfam family "Bacterial small subunit ribosomal RNA", at positions 524 to 776 of the family's 1533-position model. The record is from RNAcentral.
UACGUAGGGGGCUAGCGUUGUCCGGAAUCAUUGGGCGUAAAGCGCGUGUAGGCGGCCCGGUAAGUCCGCUGUGAAAGUCGGGGGCUCAACCCUGGAAAGCCGGUGGAUACUGUCGGGCUAGAGUCCGGAAGAGGCGAGUGGAAUUCCUGGUGUAGCGGUGGAAUGCGCAGAUAUCAGGAGGAACACCGAUGGCGAAGGCAGCUCGCUGGGACGGUACUGACGCUGAGGCGCGAAAGCGUGGGGAGCGAACAGG